GCAUAAUUAUUGACCCUGGUGGCAAAACAUACAGAGCAGAAAACAAUAAAAUAAAUAGAAAUCAGAGAGAUAAGCUUUGCUCCUUCUUAAUUUGGUCAUGCAAGAAUAAGUCACCUGAAUGUAAGAAACAGGGAACAUCUGAAAAAUCAAGUAAUUAUUGUUAUUUAGGACCAUACAAGUAUUGAGAAAUGUUCGAUGAUUCAGUGAGACUUCAUCAAAGUAGAAGAGUACAGAUUAACUCUCAUGUGAACAGUGAACUACAAGAAAAAUGCAAUAUCUAACACUAAGCAUGCUUUUCACUGUAGAGUUCAAUAAAAUAAAAUCUCAACCAAAUCUUUGGUUCAACAAUGGAACCAUCUCUCAUAAAACAAUUAGUUAUUUUCAAAAUUUUAUUUAGCAGUGACUUAUAAAUUUGAAAUGUAAUUUACCGAGUAACUUUUCUAUGGAACUUUUUCCUGAGGAGUUGAUACCAUAAGUAGGAUGGUAAAACUUAUCAAAAACCAAAAGCUGCACUUAUAAAUCAUAGAGUUUAACUAUCACUGCUAGGCCCAGAGUCAAAGACUUUUCAAGGUGGGAAUGGACGAUCGGAGAGUAAAAUUAACUUAAAUUACAAUCACUAAAGCAAAAAUAAUAAAAAAGCCAUAAAAUUUGCUCUAAUGUUGUCCCUUCUACAUUAUAUAAUUCUCUUCUUUCCCUCUUUUUUUAUCUGAAUUAUUAAAUAACAUAAUGAGUUUUUAAACAAAGGGAAAUAACUAGAAUUCUAAAUCACCAUACUCAAGAAAUAGAAGUAUAAUGUAUGCUAAUCUUUAACUUAAACCAUGUAAUGAGUCAUGCCAUGUAUUAAAUCUAUAAAUGGUAACAAUAGAUGGUGGUGUAUACAUAUUAUAUAUCUUUUCAUUUAUGUUUCUAAUGAUCAUAACAUUUCAUACUUAUGUUUCUUUUCUUUCUUUACAUCCGUCUCUCAAGUACCAUCUAAACACAAUCUAAUAUACCUAUGGUUGACACAGACUCUGUCGACACAACAGGGAGCACAACAGAUCUACUAUUAAUUGGGGUCAAAAGGCACCUACUUAGCCCUGGCUGGCACAUCUUCGGCACAACAGAGAUGCCCUAAAUUUUAAUCUGGUGUGCUCCAGCCUCAAUUGCACCCCCUUCACUGCUUGGUAGGUUGCUCAGACGAUAUGAGUUCUACACAGAGCGUCCGCAGGUUUUCUCUAAGUUGCACGUCCGGACGCAUAGACGCACAUGGAUGAAAUAGAGCACAAGCACCUCAGAGACAUGUAGAGGAGAGGGAGAGCGAGAUCCCGACAAAUGUCAGCAGUAGUGGUAGCCAAUAGCACUACGUAGUCUAAUUUUGAGAUUUGGCAACAUGCAUCAGGGAAGAAUGGGAGAGUUUAUGGCAUGAGACUGAAGGAGAUUGCACUUGAGGUAAAGCUUUCUUGUGUUCUUAAAGAAGUUCAAGAUCAUCAUUGUCAGUGCAUGACGAACUUGCCAGACUGGUCACUGUUAUGAGUGAUGAGAUCCGUUAUUUGAGUGAAAUCAACAAGACAAUCGAGGACACUCUAACAUGACUGACGAAGCAUAUUGCAGAUCGCCAUGGCAACAGACCCAUGAUUUUUAUGGUCGAGGAUGAGGACAUGGAUGAGUGAGAGGGAGAGGAUGCUCAUGAUGAUGCCCAAAAGAGAUCUGCACAUUUUUCAUAUUGUGUGUUGGUCAUAGUAUUUGCAAUUUGUAAUUGAAUUCUACGCAAAGAUGUGAACUUUUGUUCACUUAGCUUAAGGUUCGCAGAAAUAUAUUUGUUUUCAUUGUUGGUAUUUAUUUAUGCAUAAAUUUUGUGUUCUGCUAGUGGAUAAGUACAUAUUGAUCAAAUUGGUAUUCGUUGAAUCAAUUGUAUAAAUUUGAUUGUCCUUUUAUAUUUUUUUUACAAUUGCUACAAUUUUACUUCAAAUUUGCGACGGAAAUUUCUGACUAUAAUACCUCAAUAAUUUCCGUCGCAAUUUGAUAAUCUCUAACGCUAAAUGACCUACAGCAGAUUUAAUCGGACGCAAAACAUGACACAUUUGCAUUGGUCAAAAGUGAACGCAAAGCCUCUAGUUGACAUUUGUGUCCCCAUCGGGCACCUCGA
Phalaenopsis equestris is the source of this 2125-nucleotide long non-coding RNA. RefSeq lists it as uncharacterized. Lineage: Eukaryota; Viridiplantae; Streptophyta; Magnoliopsida; Asparagales; Orchidaceae. The record is from RefSeq and is a predicted model, not a curated record. The transcript is spliced from 4 exons.